GCGACACUAGCUCAGCUGGUAGAGCGCAACCUUGCCAGGUUGAGGUCACGAGUUCGAACCUCGUGUGUCGCUCCA
Molecule: transfer RNA, 75 nt
Filed under: Photobacterium leiognathi
Lineage: Bacteria; Pseudomonadati; Pseudomonadota; Gammaproteobacteria; Vibrionales; Vibrionaceae
Description: tRNA-OTHER
Rfam family: tRNA
About the family: Transfer RNA (tRNA) molecules are approximately 80 nucleotides in length. Their secondary structure includes four short double-helical elements and three loops (D, anti-codon, and T loops).
Source: RNAcentral